Molecule: ribosomal RNA, 252 nt
Filed under: uncultured Bacteroidales bacterium
Lineage: Bacteria; Pseudomonadati; Bacteroidota; Bacteroidia; Bacteroidales
Description: partial 16S ribosomal RNA
Rfam family: Bacterial small subunit ribosomal RNA
Source: RNAcentral
UACGGAGGAUGCGAGCGUUAUCCGGCUUUAUUGGGUUUAAAGGGAGCGCAGGCGGCGAGUUAAGUCAGCGGUAAAAUUUCGGGGCUCAACCCCGGCCCGCCGUUGAAACUGGCAGUCUCGAGUUGGAGAGAAGUAUGCGGAAUGCGCGGUGUAGCGGUGAAAUGCAUAGAUAUCGCGCAGAACUCCGAUUGCGAAGGCAGCAUGCCGGCUCCACACUGACGCUGAGGCACGAAAGCGUGGGUAUCGAACAGG